AUACUUACCUGGCAGGGGAGAUACCAUGAUCACGAAGGUGGUUUUCCCAGGGCGAGGCUCACCCAUUGCACUCCGGUUGUGCUGACCCCUGCGAUUUCCCCAAAUGUGGGAAACUCGACUGCAUAAUUUGUGGUAGUGGGGGACUGCGUUCGCGCUUUCCCCUG
Molecule: small nuclear RNA, 164 nt
Filed under: Camelus bactrianus (Bactrian camel)
Lineage: Eukaryota; Metazoa; Chordata; Mammalia; Artiodactyla; Camelidae
Also listed under: 1 other name
Description: U1 spliceosomal RNA
Rfam family: U1 spliceosomal RNA
About the family: U1 is a small nuclear RNA (snRNA) component of the spliceosome (involved in pre-mRNA splicing). Its 5' end forms complementary base pairs with the 5' splice junction, thus defining the 5' donor site of an intron. There are significant differences in sequence and secondary structure between metazoan and yeast U1 snRNAs, the latter being much longer (568 nucleotides as compared to 164 nucleotides in human).
Source: Rfam by way of RNAcentral